This 441-nucleotide ribosomal RNA is filed under the name Pygmaiobacter massiliensis. Its description in RNAcentral is "bacterial SSU rRNA". It matches the Rfam family "Bacterial small subunit ribosomal RNA", at positions 338 to 796 of the family's 1533-position model. The record is from RNAcentral. Lineage: Bacteria; Bacillati; Bacillota; Clostridia; Eubacteriales; Oscillospiraceae.
CCUACGGGAGGCAGCAGUGGGGAAUAUUGCACAAUGGAGGAAACUCUGAUGCAGCGACGCCGCGUGAGGGAAGAAGGUCUUCGGAUUGUAAACCUCUGUUGUCAGGGACGAUAAUGACGGUACCUGACGAGGAAGCCACGGCUAACUACGUGCCAGCAGCCGCGGUAAAACGUAGGUGGCAAGCGUUGUCCGGAAUUACUGGGUGUAAAGGGAGCGCAGGCGGGAGAGCAAGUUGGAAGUGAAAUCUGUGGGCUCAACUCACAAAUUGCUUUCAAAACUGUUUUUCUUGAGUGGUGUAGAGGUAGGCGGAAUUCCCGGUGUAGCGGUGGAAUGCGUAGAUAUCGGGAGGAACACCAGUGGCGAAGGCGGCCUACUGGGCACUAACUGACGCUGAGGCUCGAAAGCAUGGGUAGCAAACAGGAUUAGAUACCCUGGUAGUCC